ACGUAAAUGAGGCAGUUGGGAACUGUCCUGCAUCGUUUCACUAUGGCGGAGACACCGCGAAGAUACUAUUGAUGAUAAUAAAUAGUAGUAGAUUGUGAUUUUUUAAAAGACUACUUUCACAUACAAUGUGGUUAGUAUAUGUAUGGAUGGUAUCGAUGGGCAGUGGUAACAAGUUUAGUAUUUUUAACGAUAUUGAUAUCCAAAAUGUACUUGACUAUCUAACCUUAUUUCUCAAAAAUAGUCUGAAGAACACAAUAUUGAGGCAGCAGUGAGGAACCUGUUGAGCUGCAUCAGGAGCGAGAGGGCCUCACCAGCACCUCCUGCUAGGGCCUCACCAGCACCUCCUGCUAUGGCCUCACCAGCACCUCCUGCUUGGGCCUCACCAGCACCUCCUGCUAGGGCCUCACCAGCACCUCCUGCUAGGGCCUCACCAGCACCUCCUGCUUGGGCCUCACCAGCACCUCCUGCUAUGGCCUCACCAGCACCUCCUGCUUGGGCCUCACCAGCACCUCCUGCUGCCCCACUGGUUCCUCAAGGUGUUCGGCAGACAUCCCAGAUGGCCUUGCAGAGAAACUUCCCAGCCGCCUUUGGUUGUGGCGGGAAAAGGAAGCGUAAAACAGCUCACCAGCUCACCCCGCCACCAUUAUUUGUCAAAUAUGUGGAGCUGCAAUUUUGCCUCUUGGAAGGCAACAACAAACAUGCACCAAAGGAUGAAUUCGUCCUCCUACAGGCAGGUCUUGGCAGGAGGACAGUAAACAUCAGUGAAAAUGCCAACCAUGAAGAUAUAAACAGAGCUCUCCAGGAGGAAUACCCCAAAAUGAGGGGACUAAGUGGAGGGUGGCUUUUUAAAAAGUCUGCAGGUGAGAUGAUAAUUUAAUAACUAUGUAAUUACCUACUGCUUAUUAUAGGGCUCUUCUACUAUACUGGCUCCUCUAAUACUAGUAGAUGGUGGUCACCCUACCCAUCAUUGAACCUGAGUUUCAAGUGUACCAAACAUGACACUUGAUCACAAUGCCAGGGACAGUAUGGUAGACAGACUUCAUACUCAACUCUAGUGACGAGGCACUCCAUACAAGUGGACACUUCCAGUCUUUCUACAUUCUAAUAUAUAUCCAUUUAUGUACUACUUUCACUGGCAAGGGUUCUGAUUCACAAUGCUUCUGAUUCACAUCUUUCAUAUCG
Molecule: long non-coding RNA, 1182 nt
Filed under: Gadus morhua (Atlantic cod)
Lineage: Eukaryota; Metazoa; Chordata; Actinopteri; Gadiformes; Gadidae
Description: lncRNA (ENSGMOG00000023394.1)
Source: RNAcentral